UACGUAGGGGGCAAGCGUUGUCCGGAAUCAUUGGGCGUAAAGAGCGUGUAGGCGGCUUGGCAAGUCUGGUGUGAAAUCUUGCGGCUCAACCGCAAGCGGUCACUGGAAACUGCCUCGCUAGAGUCCGGAAGAGGAGAGCGGAAUUCCUGGUGUAGCGGUGAAAUGCGCAGAUAUCAGGAGGAACACCGGUGGCGAAGGCGGUUCUCUGGGAAUGACCUGACGCUGAGGAGCGAAAGUGUGGGGAGCGAACAGG
This 253-nucleotide ribosomal RNA is filed under the name uncultured bacterium. Its description in RNAcentral is "partial 16S ribosomal RNA". It matches the Rfam family "Bacterial small subunit ribosomal RNA", at positions 524 to 776 of the family's 1533-position model. The record is from RNAcentral.